RNAcentral lists this ribosomal RNA (447 nucleotides) under uncultured bacterium. RNAcentral describes it as "partial 16S ribosomal RNA". It matches the Rfam family "Bacterial small subunit ribosomal RNA", at positions 330 to 793 of the family's 1533-position model. The record is from RNAcentral.
GCCAGACUCCUACGGGAGGCAGCAGUGGGGAAUAUUGCACAAUGGGGGAAACCCUGAUGCAGCGACGCCGCGUGAGCGAUGAAGUAUUUCGGUAUGUAAAGCUCUAUCAGCAGGAAAGAAAAUGACGGUACCUGACUAAGAAGCCCCGGCUAACUACGUGCCAGCAGCCGCGGUAAUACGUAGGGGGCAAGCGUUAUCCGGAUUUACUGGGUGUAAAGGGAGUGUAGGCGGUUUAGUAAGAUAGUGGUGAAAUCCCAGAGCUUAACUUUGGAAUUGCCAUUAUAACUAUUAGACUAGAAUUACAGAGAGGAUAGUGGAAUACCCAGUGUAGAGGUGAAAUUCGUAGAUAUUGGGUAGAACACCAGUGGCGAAGGCGACUAUCUGGCUGUACAUUGACGCUGAGGCUCGAAAGCAUGGGGAUCAAACAGGAUUAGAUACCCGGGUACG